RNAcentral lists this ribosomal RNA (253 nucleotides) under uncultured bacterium. RNAcentral describes it as "partial 16S ribosomal RNA". It matches the Rfam family "Bacterial small subunit ribosomal RNA", at positions 524 to 776 of the family's 1533-position model. The record is from RNAcentral.
UACGUAGGGUGCAGGCGUUAAUCGGAAUUACUGGGCGUAAAGCGUGCGCAGGCGGUUUGUUAAGACAGGUGUGAAAUCCCCGGGCUUAACCUGGGAACUGCGCUUGUUACUGGCAGACUUGAGUGUGGCAGAGGGGGGUGGAAUUCCAGGUGUAGCAGUGAAAUGCGUAGAUAUCUGGAGGAACACCGAUGGCGAAGGCAGCCCCCUGGGUUAACACUGACGCUCAUGCACGAAAGCGUGGGGAGCAAACAGG